Molecule: long non-coding RNA, 292 nt
Filed under: Oryzias javanicus (javanese ricefish)
Lineage: Eukaryota; Metazoa; Chordata; Actinopteri; Beloniformes; Adrianichthyidae
Description: lncRNA (ENSOJAG00000011737.1)
Source: RNAcentral
GCUCGCUUGCAAGAGGCCGUCACUAUAGUAACCGAAGCAGGUGUGCUUAUUAACCGGAAGAGGAGUAGAGGUUGAUCUGGCAGAGAAAAGAACAAGGUCAAAGCACUACAAAGCCUGCCACAAUAAACGGCUGAAAUCUCCCAGCGGCAGAGUGAGUAAACAUGGGCGGGGGAAAUGCGCGAGCCGGAGAGGGGCUCUGUUAAGAUGGCAAGGUUCCCGGUCUGAGUGGAGUUGAGGAACGCCGCUCUUCUGUCUGACGGCCUGGUGCCUUAAAGUGUCCUUGAGCAAAAAC